RNAcentral lists this long non-coding RNA (251 nucleotides) under Carica papaya (papaya). Its description in RNAcentral is "long non-coding RNA (CPAP_LNC011296)". The record is from RNAcentral. Lineage: Eukaryota; Viridiplantae; Streptophyta; Magnoliopsida; Brassicales; Caricaceae.
UAUAAUUAUGUGUUGUUAAAUUUUAACUUUUUAAAAAUAAAACAAUAUUCUUCUUCCAAGUCAGUUUGCUGCGGUUCCCUUACAAGACGGGUGGAGAAAACGUAUUAUUAAAGCGAAACCAACCAGAGGAGAUGGCGGAAAAAAUAUCCUCGCAAGCCGGUGAGAGAAUAUUCCGUGCGUCGAGCAUGCGUGUCCGGCGAUGCACGUGCGCGUCAGUUGGCCCCUAACGGGAAUCAUAUGCAUAUUGCAAC